This 520-nucleotide small RNA is filed under the name uncultured Gigaspora. RNAcentral describes it as "SSU rRNA". It matches the Rfam family "Eukaryotic small subunit ribosomal RNA", at positions 569 to 1094 of the family's 1831-position model. Lineage: Eukaryota; Fungi; Glomeromycota; Glomeromycetes; Diversisporales; Gigasporaceae. The record is from RNAcentral.
AGCAGCCGCGGUAAUUCCAGCUCCAAUAGCGUAUAUUAAAGUUGUUGCAGUUAAAAAGCUCGUAGUUGAAUUUCGGGGUUCUACCGUUGGUCGGGCUAUAGUCUGUACUGGCGUGUGGAAUUUCUACCUUCUGGGGAACUAUCAUGUUAUUAAUUUAGCGUGGUAGGAAACCAGAACCUUUACCUUGAAAAAAUUAGAGUGUUCAAAGCAGGCUUACGUCUGAAUACAUUAGCAUGGAAUAAUAAAAUAGGACGGUGGUCCUGUUUUGUUGGUUUCUGAAUCACCGUAAUGAUUAAUAGGGAUAGUUGGGGGCAUUAGUAUUCAAUUGUCAGAGGUGAAAUUCUUGGAUUUAUUGAAGACUAACUUCUGCGAAAGCAUUUGCCAAGGAUGUUUUCAUUAAUCAAGAACGAAAGUUAGGGGAUCGAAGACGAUCAGAUACCGUCGUAGUCUUAACCAUAAACUAUGCCGACUAGGAAUCGGACGAUGUUAAUUUUUCUUGACUCGUUCGGCGCCUUACGGG